Molecule: ribosomal RNA, 559 nt
Filed under: Escherichia coli
Lineage: Bacteria; Pseudomonadati; Pseudomonadota; Gammaproteobacteria; Enterobacterales; Enterobacteriaceae
Also listed under: 1 other name
Description: partial 23S ribosomal RNA
Rfam family: Bacterial large subunit ribosomal RNA
Source: RNAcentral
ACUGCGAGCGUGACGGCGCGAGCAGGUGCGAAAGCAGGUCAUAGUGAUCCGGUGGUUCUGAAUGGAAGGGCCAUCGCUCAACGGAUAAAAGGUACUCCGGGGAUAACAGGCUGAUACCGCCCAAGAGUUCAUAUCGACGGCGGUGUUUGGCACCUCGAUGUCGGCUCAUCACAUCCUGGGGCUGAAGUAGGUCCCAAGGGUAUGGCUGUUCGCCAUUUAAAGUGGUACGCGAGCUGGGUUUAGAACGUCGUGAGACAGUUCGGUCCCUAUCUGCCGUGGGCGCUGGAGAACUGAGGGGGGCUGCUCCUAGUACGAGAGGACCGGAGUGGACGCAUCACUGGUGUUCGGGUUGUCAUGCCAAUGGCACUGCCCGGUAGCUAAAUGCGGAAGAGAUAAGUGCUGAAAGCAUCUAAGCACGAAACUUGCCCCGAGAUGAGUUCUCCCUGACCCUUUAAGGGUCCUGAAGGAACGUUGAAGACGACGACGUUGAUAGGCCGGGUGUGUAAGCGCAGCGAUGCGUUGAGCUAACCGGUACUAAUGAACCGUGAGGCUUAACCUU